RNAcentral lists this ribosomal RNA (465 nucleotides) under Vreelandella stevensii. Its description in RNAcentral is "partial 16S ribosomal RNA". It matches the Rfam family "Bacterial small subunit ribosomal RNA", at positions 338 to 795 of the family's 1533-position model. Lineage: Bacteria; Pseudomonadati; Pseudomonadota; Gammaproteobacteria; Oceanospirillales; Halomonadaceae. The record is from RNAcentral.
CCUACGGGAGGCAGCAGUGGGGAAUAUUGGACAAUGGGCGAAAGCCUGAUCCAGCCAUGCCACGUGUGUGAAGAAGGCCUUCGGGUUGUAAAGCACUUUCAGUGGGGAAGAAAGCCUUGGGGCUAAUACCCUCGAGGAAGGACAUCACCCACAGAAGAAGCACCGGCUAACUCCGUGCCAGCAGCCGCGGUAAUACGGAGGGUGCGAGCGUUAAUCGGAAUUACUGGGCGUAAAGCGCGCGUAGGCGGUCUGAUAAGCCGGUUGUGAAAGCCCCGGGCUCAACCUGGGAACGGCAUCCGGAACUGUCAGGCUAGAGUGCAGGAGAGGAAGGUAGAAUUCCCGGUGUAGCGGUGAAAUGCGUAGAGAUCGGGAGGAAUACCAGUGGCGAAGGCGGCCUUCUGGACUGACACUGACGCUGAGGUGCGAAAGCGUGGGUAGCAAACAGGAUUAGAUACCCCGGUAGUC